This 1301-nucleotide long non-coding RNA is filed under the name Bos indicus x Bos taurus (hybrid cattle). RNAcentral's name for it is "lncRNA (ENSBIXG00005024783.1)". Lineage: Eukaryota; Metazoa; Chordata; Mammalia; Artiodactyla; Bovidae. The record is from RNAcentral.
GAAAAAUAAAUGGAUUGCUCAAAUUUGUCAAAGUAGCGUAUAACCGAUUUUAUUUCUCUUCUGUUCUAGUUUUUUUUUUUUUUUAAAGGUAAUUACUCUCACAAUUUAUCAUCUGACAAAAGGAAGCAGCUGAUAAAAGAAGCCCUCCUUUGUUCUGGACUUCCUGGCCGGGUCUCACAAGUCCUGUUUGCUUUGACCGCCUCUGGAGUGUUUGCCCAGUGAGGUCAGGGAAGGGAAGGAGAACACCGCCCGCCUGUUGUCGGAGCCGCAGGAAGCCAGCUGCGAGCUCCGCUUGCCAGGGCUUCACAGGGCUUGGCAGCUCAAUUUCCUCUCAGCCUACCAGAUGAGACAGAAGAGUCCACCGGUCACUUAUCUAAGCAAAGCACAUUGGGAGCCAUUAGAACUUGCGCCACCCGGCAGACUGUCCUGAACCAGAGAGGAGAAAUCAAGGCCGCCUCACCAUAUGAGACUCAGGUAAGUUGAUCCCUUCUUCCCAUCCCUCCCUGACUGCCCCGGUGUAGACCGGUUGGAAACACAAGGCGGGGCGGGGGGAGUCAGGCAAAGGAAGACCAUCUUUUCUGUCCAUUCAGGUCCUUUGAGCCACAAGUCUAGGCAGCAGUGGCAGAGGAGAAAUCACCACAUUGGAUAGAAGGCUGGUGUUUCUAUCAGGGCCCAGCUGUGUUUAAUCCUUGAAACUGGCCAGAAAGUUAUGGACUCUGCUAAGAUCAGUUAAAGAUCAAGAAAAGCAAUGAGUAAUGGCACAGCAAUGAGUAACGAAAAAACUGUCUCGUCUUUCUGUCUCUACCACACUGAGUGCUCCCAAUGAACCACUUACAUUUGGAUUCUCUUAGGUGACCUAUUUUCCCUAAUCCUUUUGAGCCAUUCAAAGCUAAUUUUUCUGUAUCCUUUUACUGACAAGUAACAAAACCAGAGCUCUCAGUUUCUCUCACCGCUUUGCCUGUAUCUCCUUGGCUCAUCCUCUCCUACAGCAGACAGGCUUUCUCUGGGUGGCUGAGAAUUAGGCCACCUUCUUCUUCAACUUCAACUCUUUUCUGAUCCAUAACCCCUGGGACAGGGUCCUUCUCCAGCUCCAACCAAAAAAUCUCAGAGACGGACCCUGAUUGGUCUUGUUUGGGUCACAUGGUCCCCCAGUAAGGGGUCAGAGUCUCGUGACUGUCGUACCCCCUCCCAGGUCAUGUGUUUGGAGUUGGGGAUGUGCAAGUCCCCAGAGUAAGGCUGGGGCAUGCCGGAAACAAAGUACUGUAGAGGGCUCACGUGAUGCCAAGGGGCAUCUGCAGUAA